RNAcentral lists this unclassified non-coding RNA (298 nucleotides) under uncultured bacterium. RNAcentral's name for it is "contains 16S-23S intergenic spacer region". The record is from RNAcentral.
ACCUGUGCUUUUCUUUUGCUGAUCUCAUCAAUCGUCCAGAUUUCGCCCACCGGAAUAUGAUGCAAAGCGGUAACAACACCUGUGCAUCCGGCCUGCCGUAUAUCCCAUAAACUAACCGGAUCAUUCGGUCCAAACCAUCGCAUCGUUUGCUCCAUCAGCAUGGCCAAUUGUUUUUUGUUUCUAGUUUUUUAUUUUCUGCCCAAUAUCUUAAUUAUUAACCUGUGAAAUACACAUAGAUUGUAAUGAUUAUUGCGAUAAGCAGAACUGAGAGCAAUACAUCUUUUAUACUCCAUGUUGC